AGUAACAAAGCAAGUAAUAGGA
Molecule: small nuclear RNA, 22 nt
Filed under: Arabidopsis thaliana (thale cress)
Lineage: Eukaryota; Viridiplantae; Streptophyta; Magnoliopsida; Brassicales; Brassicaceae
Description: snRNA_18264
Source: RNAcentral